CCUACGGGGUGCAGCAGUGAGGAAUAUUGGUCAAUGGACGAGAGUCUGAACCAGCCAAGUAGCGUGAAGGAUGACUGCCCUAUUGGUUGUAAACUUCUUUUAUAUGGGAAUAAACUGUUCCACGUGUGGGAUUUUGUAUGUACCAUAUGAAUAAGGAUCGGCUAACUCCGUGCCAGCAGCCGCGGUAAUACGGAGGAUCCGAGCGUUAUCCGGAUUUAUUGGGUUUAAAGGGAGCGUAGGUGGAUUGUUAAGUCAGUUGUGAAAGUUUGCGGCUCAACCGUAAAAUUGCAGUUGAAACUGGCAGUCUUGAGUACAGUAGAGGUGGGCGGAAUUCGUGGUGUAGCGGUGAAAUGCUUAGAUAUCACGAAGAACUCCGAUUGCGAAGGCAGUUCACUGGACUGCAACUGACACUGAGGCUCGAAAGUGUGGGUAUCAAACAGGAUUAGAUACCCCAGUAGUC
Molecule: ribosomal RNA, 460 nt
Filed under: uncultured bacterium
Lineage: Bacteria
Description: partial 16S ribosomal RNA
Rfam family: Bacterial small subunit ribosomal RNA
Source: RNAcentral